Molecule: ribosomal RNA, 432 nt
Filed under: Escherichia coli
Lineage: Bacteria; Pseudomonadati; Pseudomonadota; Gammaproteobacteria; Enterobacterales; Enterobacteriaceae
Description: partial 23S ribosomal RNA
Rfam family: Bacterial large subunit ribosomal RNA
Source: RNAcentral
AGGGUGACAGCCCCGUACACAAAAAUGCACAUGCUGUGAGCUCGAUGAGUAGGGCGGGACACGUGGUAUCCUGUCUGAAUAUGGGGGGACCAUCCUCCAAGGCUAAAUACUCCUGACUGACCGAUAGUGAACCAGUACCGUGAGGGAAAGGCGAAAAGAACCCCGGCGAGGGGAGUGAAAAAGAACCUGAAACCGUGUACGUACAAGCAGUGGGAGCCUCUUUUAUGGGGUGACUGCGUACCUUUUGUAUAAUGGGUCAGCGACUUAUAUUCUGUAGCAAGGUUAACCGAAUAGGGGAGCCGAAGGGAAACCGAGUCUUAACUGGGCGUUAAGUUGCAGGGUAUAGACCCGAAACCCGGUGAUCUAGCCAUGGGCAGGUUGAAGGUUGGGUAACACUAACUGGAGGACCGAACCGACUAAUGUUGAAAAAUU